This is a long non-coding RNA of Camellia sinensis, 484 nucleotides long. RefSeq lists it as uncharacterized. The record is from RefSeq and is a predicted model, not a curated record. Lineage: Eukaryota; Viridiplantae; Streptophyta; Magnoliopsida; Ericales; Theaceae.
UUUCCCAAAUUUGUCUCCAACGGUGGUGUACCUCAUUUCCUGUUGUUGCCUAAUCUCUCUCUCUCUCUCUCUCAAAAUCUCUCUCUGGCUCGACUCUCUCUCGCUUGAAUCUCACUGUCCAAAUCUCUCUCGCUCUAGUAAAUUUGAACCUCGCUUGAAUCUCAUUCUCAAGAUUUGAAGAUUUUGAUCUAUUUGUUGAUGAAGAUUUGAAGAUUUCGAUAGGCUGUUGAUGAAGAUUUCGAUCGAUUCAUAAUUGAGAUUCAUAAUUGGAAUGAAUGAAUUUCAAUGUGACGGAGGAGAAUGAUCGAAUUCUGAGAAGGAAUAUGAUAAUUAACCACAGACAAGACAUGAAGCCACAGUCAAUAUUUGAAAAACAGGAUAUGUUCGCAUAUUGUAUACAUACUUACAUAUGCAUGUAUGAUUUUUAUGUGAAACAUAGUAAUUAUUACUCUUGUUUUUUAGCAAGACCUUCAUUGUUGCUCAA